RNAcentral lists this ribosomal RNA (279 nucleotides) under uncultured bacterium. RNAcentral describes it as "partial 16S ribosomal RNA". It matches the Rfam family "Bacterial small subunit ribosomal RNA", at positions 506 to 784 of the family's 1533-position model. The record is from RNAcentral.
UGCCAGCCGCCGCGGUAACACGAACUGUGCGAACGUUAUUCGGAAUUACUGGGCGUAAAGCGCACGUAGGCGGACUAUUAAGUCAGGGGUGAAAUCCCGGGGCUCAACCCCGGAACUGCCUCUGAUACUGGUAGUCUUGAGUUCGAGAGAGGUGAGUGGAAUUCCGAGUGUAGAGGUGAAAUUCGUAGAUAUUCGGAGGAACACCAGUGGCGAAGGCGGCUCACUGGCUCGAUACUGACGCUGAGGUACGAAAGUGUGGGGAGCAAACAGGAUUAGAUA